RNAcentral lists this long non-coding RNA (388 nucleotides) under Scleropages formosus (Asian bonytongue). RNAcentral's name for it is "lncRNA (ENSSFOG00015031810.1)". The record is from RNAcentral. Lineage: Eukaryota; Metazoa; Chordata; Actinopteri; Osteoglossiformes; Osteoglossidae.
GUGCCCAUGUCCCCCUCUUAGACGCCUCCAUCCCCCUCACACCCCACCCAGCAUUACGCACCAGAGCCAUCGCAGAACAGAUUGCGGAAUUACCAUUAGAAUAUAAGGAGCCUGGCUGCUGCGGGCGGCAAAUGGAGAAACCGCUAACGACCCUUGCUCGUCGGACCACGACUCUUCGGACUACGGUCUCUACAUUAGCACCACGACUCUUCAGAUCGUGAGCCUCGGUCUUCAAACUACUAACUUAGCUAAGACCCUCAGACCUCGACCACACGCCUUCUUCCUGAGUGUCAUUCCCCUGGUCAAUCUUUCAAAGCCCCAUCUCAGUACUCUUGCUAACAGCUUUAGUUUUCGGCGCCCAUCAAUAGAGCUGCUCACACGAUCUCCA